AGUGAACGCUGGCGGCAGGCCUAACACAUGCAAGUCGAACGGCAGCACAGUAAGAGCUUGCCUUUACGGGUGGCGAGUGGCGGACGGGUGAGGAAUACAUCGGCAUCUACUUUUUCGUGGGGGAUAACGUAGGGAAACUUACGCUAAUACCGCAUACGACCUACGGGUGAAAGCAGGGGAUCUUCGGACCUUUCGCGAUUGAAUGAGCCGGUGUCGGAUUAGCUAGUUGGCGGGGUAAAGGCCCACCAAGGCGACGAUCCGUAGCUGGUCUGAGAGGAUGAUCAGCCACACUGGAACUGAGACACGGUCCAGACUCCUACGGGAGGCAGCAGUGGGGAAUCUUGGACAAUGGGCGCAAGCCUGAUCCAGCCAUACCGCGUGGGUGAAGAAGGCCUUCGGGUUGUAAAGCCCUUUUGUUGGGGAAGAAAAGCAGCGGGUUAAUCCCCCGCUGUUCUGACGGUACCCAAAGAAUAAGCACCGGCUAACUUCGUG
Molecule: ribosomal RNA, 492 nt
Filed under: uncultured bacterium
Lineage: Bacteria
Description: partial 16S ribosomal RNA
Rfam family: Bacterial small subunit ribosomal RNA
Source: RNAcentral